Molecule: ribosomal RNA, 167 nt
Filed under: uncultured bacterium
Lineage: Bacteria
Description: partial 16S ribosomal RNA
Rfam family: Bacterial small subunit ribosomal RNA
Source: RNAcentral
CUAAGAAUCUUCCGCAAUGGGCGAAAGCCUGACGGAGCGACACCGCGUGAAUGAUGAAGGCAGAGAUGUUGUAAAAUUCUUUUAUCAGGGAGGAAUAAGCCGAUGAGGAAAUGCUUCGGUGAUGACGUUAUCUGAUGAAUAAGCCCCGGCUAAUUACGUGCCAGCAG